CCUACGGGUGGCAGCAGUGGGGAAUAUUGGACAAUGGGGGGAACCCUGAUCCAGCCAUGCCGCGUGUGUGAAGAAGGCCCUCGGGUUGUAAAGCACUUUCAGUGAGGAAGAACGCCUGGUGGUUAAUACCCAUCAGGAAAGACAUCACUCACAGAAGAAGCACCGGCUAACUCCGUGCCAGCAGCCGCGGUAAUACGGAGGGUGCGAGCGUUAAUCGGAAUUACUGGGCGUAAAGCGCGCGUAGGUGGCUUGAUAAGCCGGUUGUGAAAGCCCCGGGCUCAACCUGGGAACGGCAUCCGGAACUGUCAAGCUAGAGUGCGGGAGAGGAGGGUAGAAUUCCCGGUGUAGCGGUGAAAUGCGUAGAGAUCGGGAGGAAUACCAGUGGCGAAGGCGGCCUUCUGGACUGACACUGACACUGAGGUGCGAAAGCGUGGGUAGCAAACAGGAUUAGAUACCCGAGUAGUC
Molecule: ribosomal RNA, 465 nt
Filed under: Vreelandella stevensii
Lineage: Bacteria; Pseudomonadati; Pseudomonadota; Gammaproteobacteria; Oceanospirillales; Halomonadaceae
Description: partial 16S ribosomal RNA
Rfam family: Bacterial small subunit ribosomal RNA
Source: RNAcentral